This is a long non-coding RNA of Erinaceus europaeus (western European hedgehog), 1034 nucleotides long. RefSeq lists it as uncharacterized. The transcript has 3 exons. Lineage: Eukaryota; Metazoa; Chordata; Mammalia; Eulipotyphla; Erinaceidae. The record is from RefSeq and is a predicted model, not a curated record.
CUUGCAGAAUUGCUCCACCACAGAUGACGCUUCCCCCUUGCAAGUCAGGACCAGAGGCCCUCACACUCUCUUGAGAGCACCACCACCUGUCCUUCACAUCCUCAUUCUGAAGCUUGCUUGACUGCCUCUAUUGCCUACAGAUCUCCCAACUUGCAACUCUUAAUUUACUGCACAACAAAUCUGCAGACAUUACAGAAUCAGCUCAAUACGUCAUUUUAUUUCAACUGAACAGAGUCAAUUCUUGUGUUUCAUGUGCUAGAAACACUGAAUGAAAUCAAUGACUAUUGCUGGUCAGUUUCAAAGAUGUAACCCUGUGAGGAGCAACAGGACAUUAUAAACAUGAAAUGGACUUUAUCUGAAUGUGAAAUGCAACAGGAUGCAGAGAAAGUCCAUUCUAAGUUGAGUCGAAGAAUAUCUCACAAAGAAAGCACUGAAACUGUGGACGUGUAACUGUGUUGACUUUCAAACUCUGGUCACUUCUGUGGUCUAGGAGUGGUUAGUGUUCCCAGGUGUGGCCCCUAGAUCAGCAGCACCACCUGGAGACUUGCUAGAAACACCCCUGUUCAGGUGUCAUUUUAGAGCUGAUGAAUGAAAACCUCUGAGACUGAGGUUCUGCUAUCUGUGUCUUCACAAAAUUUAAAGUGUCUGAACUUGUGUGCUCUUCACUAACAGAUUCUGGGCCGGAGCUCAUUCUGGUAACAGUAAAAACAGUAAUAGUCAAAUGUCUUAAAGAAACAGUUUUCUCAGAAGUCUCUACCUGGAUUGAAAUCAUUCUGAAAUAUACCUCAGGCCUAUUCCUAGAGCAGCUCAGAAUCCCCAAGAUACUUCACAACUACAGAGAGGGUGGGGAUUAAGUCUUUGAAGCAGUCAAAUACUGCCCUCUGGUGUCAGGUGGGGAAAUAACACAAGCGCUAUACUAUGGUUCUGUCCCCACGAAGUAUUUAAACUAUACUUACUGGGUGGCGGUAGAUAGGAUAAUGGUUAUGCAAAGAGACUUUCAUGUCUGAGGCUCUGAAGUCUCAGGUUCUAACCCU